RNAcentral lists this ribosomal RNA (465 nucleotides) under uncultured bacterium. RNAcentral describes it as "partial 16S ribosomal RNA". It matches the Rfam family "Bacterial small subunit ribosomal RNA", at positions 338 to 795 of the family's 1533-position model. The record is from RNAcentral.
CCUACGGGCGGCAGCAGUAGGGAAUCUUCCACAAUGGGCGAAAGCCUGAUGGAGCAACGCCGCGUGGGUGAAGAAGGUCUUCGGAUCGUAAAACCCUGUUGUUAGAGAAGAAAGUGCGUGAGAGUAACUGUUCACGUUUCGACGGUAUCUAACCAGAAAGCCACGGCUAACUACGUGCCAGCAGCCGCGGUAAUACGUAGGUGGCAAGCGUUAUCCGGAUUUUUUGGGCGUAAAGGGAACGCAGGCGGUCUUUUAAGUCUGAUGUGAAAGCCUUCGGCUUAACCGGAGUAGUGCAUUGGAAACUGGGAGACUUGAGUGCAGAAGAGGAGAGUGGAACUCCAUGUGUAGCGGUGAAAUGCGUAGAUAUUAGGAAGAACACCAGUGGCGAAGGCGGCUUUCUGGACUGAAACUGACGCUGAGGCUCGAAAGCGUGGGGAGCGAACAGGAUUAGAUACCCUUGUAGUC